GGCCUCCUGCACUUCCCACAGGCUGUGUUCUUUACUCAGUGUAGAAAAAGGAGGCAGCAUCUACCCACUCCGUAUACACCUCAGCCAAAUCCCUUUGCCUGACUUGUAUUGUGAAUGGGGGGGGGGGG
This is a non-coding RNA of Erinaceus europaeus (western European hedgehog), 128 nucleotides long. The record is from Rfam. NCBI's taxonomy places the organism in Eukaryota, Metazoa, Chordata, Mammalia, Eulipotyphla, Erinaceidae.